This 423-nucleotide ribosomal RNA is filed under the name Verrucomicrobiota bacterium. RNAcentral describes it as "Verrucomicrobia bacterium partial 16S ribosomal RNA". It matches the Rfam family "Bacterial small subunit ribosomal RNA", at positions 355 to 776 of the family's 1533-position model. The record is from RNAcentral. Lineage: Bacteria; Pseudomonadati; Verrucomicrobiota.
UGAGGAAUAUUGGUCAAUGGACGCAAGUCUGAACCAGCCAAGUAGCGUGCAGGAUGACGGCCCUAUGGGUUGUAAACUGCUUUUAUAUGGGGAUAAAGUGGGGAACGUGUUCCCUUUUGCAGGUACCAUAUGAAUAAGGACCGGCUAAUUCCGUGCCAGCAGCCGCGGUAAUACGGAAGGUUCGGGCGUUAUCCGGAUUUAUUGGGCGUAAAGCGAGCGCAGGCGGUUAGAAAAGUCUGAAGUGAAAGGCAGUGGCUCAACCAUUGUAGGCUUUGGAAACUGUUUAACUUGAGUGCAGAAGGGGAGAGUGGAAUUCCAUGUGUAGCGGUGAAAUGCGUAGAUAUAUGGAGGAACACCGGUGGCGAAAGCGGCUCUCUGGUCUGUAACUGACGCUGAGGCUCGAAAGCGUGGGGAGCGAACAGG